This 454-nucleotide ribosomal RNA is filed under the name uncultured bacterium. Its description in RNAcentral is "partial 16S ribosomal RNA". It matches the Rfam family "Bacterial small subunit ribosomal RNA", at positions 28 to 507 of the family's 1533-position model. The record is from RNAcentral.
GAUGAACGCCGACAGAAUGCUUAACACAUGCAAGUCAACUUGAACUUCGGUUUGGGUGGCGGACGGGUGAGUAACGCGUAAAGAACUUGCCUCACAGCUAGGGACAACAUUUGGAAACGAAUGCUAAUACCUGAUAUUAUGAUUUUAGGGCAUCCUAGAAUUAUGAAAGCUAUAUGCGCUGUGAGAGAGCUUUGCGUCCCAUUAGCUAGUUGGAGAGGUAACGGCUCACCAAGGCGAUGAUGGGUAGCCGGCCUGAGAGGGUGAGCGGCCACAAGGGGACUGAGACACGGCCCUUACUCCUACGGGAGGCAGCAGUGGGGAAUAUUGGACAAUGGACCAAGAGUCUGAUCCAGCAAUUCUGUGUGCACGAUGAAGUUUUUCGGAAUGUAAAGUGCUUUCAGUUGGGAAGAAAAAAAUGACGGUACCAACAGAAGAAGUGACGGCUAAAUACGUG